UUGGACCUGAUAUCAAGGCAAGAUGACCCAGCUGAACUAA
This 40-nucleotide ribosomal RNA is filed under the name Phytophthora capsici. RNAcentral's name for it is "partial 28S ribosomal RNA". The record is from RNAcentral. Lineage: Eukaryota; Oomycota; Peronosporomycetes; Peronosporales; Peronosporaceae.